Molecule: ribosomal RNA, 468 nt
Filed under: uncultured bacterium
Lineage: Bacteria
Description: partial 16S ribosomal RNA
Rfam family: Bacterial small subunit ribosomal RNA
Source: RNAcentral
GACGAACGCUGGCGGCGUGCUUAACACAUGCAAGUCGAACGGAAAGGCCCUGCUUUUGUGGGGUGCUCGAGUGGCGAACGGGUGAGUAACACGUGAGUAACCUGCCCUUGACUUUGGGAUAACUUCAGGAAACUGGGGCUAAUACCGGAUAGGAGCUCCUGCUGCAUGGUGAGGGUUGGAAAGUUUCGGCGGUUGGGGAUGGACUCGCGGCUUAUCAGCUUGUUGGUGGGGUAGUGGCUUACCAAGGCUUUGACGGGUAGCCGGCCUGAGAGGGUGACCGGCCACAUUGGGACUGAGAUACGGCCCAGACUCCUACGGGAGGCAGCAGUGGGGAAUAUUGCACAAUGGGCGGGAGCCUGAUGCAGCAACGCCGCGUGCGGGAUGACGGCCUUCGGGUUGUAAACCGCUUUCGCCUGUGACGAAGCGUGAGUGACGGUAAUGGGUAAAGAAGCACCGGCUAACUACGUG